CUACGGGGCGCUGCAGUGAGGAAUAUUGCACAAUGGGGGGAACCCUGAUGCAGCAACGCCGCGUGGAGGAUGACGCAUUUCGGUGUGUAAACUCCUUUUAUAUGUCAAGAAAAUGACGGUAGCAUUUGAAUAAGCACCGGCUAACUCCGUGCCAGCAGCCGCGGUAAUACGGAGGGUGCAAGCGUUACUCGGAAUCACUGGGCGUAAAGGACGCGUAGGCGGGUUGGAAAGUCAGGUGUGAAAUCCUACAGCUUAAAUGUAGAACUGCACUUGAAACUUCUAAUCUAGAGUAUGGGAGGGGGAGAUGGAAUUAGUGGUGUAGGGGUAAAAUCCGUAGAUAUCACUAGGAAUACCUAAAGCGAAGGCGAUCUCCUGGAACAUUACUGACGCUAAGGCGUGAAAGCGUGGGGAGCAAACAGGAUUAGAUACCCCCGUAGUC
This 439-nucleotide ribosomal RNA is filed under the name uncultured bacterium. Its description in RNAcentral is "partial 16S ribosomal RNA". It matches the Rfam family "Bacterial small subunit ribosomal RNA", at positions 339 to 795 of the family's 1533-position model. The record is from RNAcentral.